AGAAGAUGAUUCAUGACCCAGCGAAGUCAUCUAGUGUCUUUUUGGACUUCCAAGAUUCCUGGACAUAGGAGGAUUGGUUGAGCAAGAUAUUAUGUUGAUGUUUGGGGAAGCCAUCUCUGCAAAGUUCCCUGAGAAGUGGCCCACUGUCUACAAGCAUAAAAUCCUCAAACAAAGCCGCAGUCUCACACAGUCUGAUGACCUUCAGAACCUUCUUUACAAUGCUGAAGGCACAACAGAAGUGGAAAAUGGAUGGGACAGUGACAUGUCAUCCAUUUUGAUCCUGGUGUACCUCCUGCCACAGUCACCUCCUGGAUACAAGAGACCAGGGAAUACUCUCAGCCAGACAAGCCAGUGAACAUCUUGUGAAGUUUGUCAAGACAAGAACCAGCAUCAAGGAGCACCUUGAAGGCAUCGCAGAGAGCUGUCAACCAUACCUGCUUGCAGUAAGGACUCAGAGGAGCGUGAUUUGAUGAGCUUUUUAAAGCUCACUUUAUGUUUGGCACUUCAUUUGAUCAUGAUCUGGUCAAUGUGUACAAGAGACGGACCUCAUGUUAUUUAUGUAGAAGAGCUUUACUGUUCCAGAGCU
Long non-coding RNA from Poeciliopsis prolifica (blackstripe livebearer), 586 nucleotides. RefSeq lists it as uncharacterized. NCBI's taxonomy places the organism in Eukaryota, Metazoa, Chordata, Actinopteri, Cyprinodontiformes, Poeciliidae. The transcript is spliced from 4 exons. The record is from RefSeq and is a predicted model, not a curated record.